This is a non-coding RNA of Vicia faba (fava bean), 261 nucleotides long. The record is from the annotation of a GenBank genome assembly. NCBI's taxonomy places the organism in Eukaryota, Viridiplantae, Streptophyta, Magnoliopsida, Fabales, Fabaceae.
AUGGCUGCCUACAUUAUCAGACGAGCAUUCUCACGGCACAAUUUGUUUCGCCUACCAACCUGUGCUCUACAUGUUUGUGAAAAUUCCCCUGUUAAACUUUGCAUAUCUGACUCUACCACUAGAGUCUUUACUCUUCCAACUCGCCUAGAUGCCAGGCCGAAGGAUGCAAUGCUGAUCUGUCUCAGGCGAAGCACUACCACCGCUGACAUAAGGUUUGCGAGUUUCACUCCAAGGCAGCCACCGUCAUCGCCGCUGGGUUAA